RNA transcript from Prosopis cineraria, 1895 nucleotides. It is a transcript of the gene named E2F transcription factor-like E2FF, with no coding region annotated. NCBI's taxonomy places the organism in Eukaryota, Viridiplantae, Streptophyta, Magnoliopsida, Fabales, Fabaceae. The transcript is spliced from 12 exons. The record is from RefSeq and is a predicted model, not a curated record.
CGCGUUGUCCAUGACGACAACGCUCCGAUUCCAUAAUAUAUGGGUGAGUCCGCACGGUCUCUUUCGCUUUCGAAUCUAGAACUAAAAUUCUGAACCCUAAUUCCAAAACCACGUUUUCGAAAUUGAAAGCCCGCCAAGCCACCGCUUUCCCCACCCCCUUUUAACGGUCCCGCUAUUCCGAUUGCGUCGUUCGAAGGAUCUCCCUCAGCUAGCCACUUGCUCCACUCUUUCGGUGGAUAUGUCUUCAUCUGUUCCUCAAGAUUCUGAUUCCACCCCACAGAUCUACUCCCGGAAAGACAAGUCACUUGGGUUACUUUGUUCUAACUUCUUCAAACUAUAUAAUCGCGAAGGAAUUGGGACGAUUGGACUCGACGAUGCUGCUUCCCGACUAGGAGUUCAGCGUCGCCGCAUGUAUGAUGUAGUCAACAUAUUGGAGAGUGUUGGAAUCGUGGCAAGAAAAGGGAAAAAUCUAUACCUAUGGAAAGGUUUCAGCGAAAUUCCUCGAGCUUUGAACGAGCUUAAGGAAGAGGGUAUGAGAGAAAAAUUUGAUGCAGCGUACUGCAGGCCAGCUGAAGCAUCGAAGGACAAAGAAACCAGUGGUUCUGAAACCAAAACCGAUCCUUUGGCAAUGACAUUGCCCAAAACUGACGGCUGCAGAAGAGACAAAUCUCUAGCACUUUUGACGGAGAAUUUCAUAAAGCUCUUCCUCUGUUCAGAUGUUGAAAUUAUCUUGCUUGAAGAUGCUGCAAAGAUAAUGCCGGGUGAUGCCCAGAAUUCAACUGCCUUGAGAACAAAAGUCAGACGUUUAUAUGACAUAGCGAAUGUUCUUUCAUCCAUUAAUCUGAUUGAGAAGACCAAUCAUCCCGAGUAUAGGAAAACAGCAUAUAGGUGGUUGGGAGGAAAAGCCAGCAGAGAAUCUAACGGCAUCUUGGAUCAAAGUGCAUCCAGGAAAAGAGUGUUUGGAGCGGAAAUUACAAAUUACAGUUUAAAGAGAAAUAAAACAGAUCCUUCAAUCGAGUUGCGGACCCAUGAAAAGAUUAUGCCAGUGUAUAAAAAACAAGAUGAGUUGGAAAAUGAAUACAGAUGUAAAACGUUGGAGCACCCUCCUAAAUGCAGUUCAAAAUCUAUAGACUUUGGCCCAUUUGCUCCCGUCAAGUUUAGAAGAGAAGAUCCAGAGCACAGACAUAUGAGGCAGGUUCAUGACAUAGAAACGAUGAGUUCUAAAUAUCGCCCUGAGUAUCACAAACAAGUGACCCAAUUGUAAGGGAUGAGUUCGUUGAUGGCGUGACAGCUGUGAGUGAGCGACCUCUUUGCUCAUUGCUGCGUGUAAGUCGUGGCUUGUUGAAGCAGCAGCGCGGCGACAGAUAUCUCCAUUCAUGGGGGAUAACGAACAGUACAGGAGGGUCACAUCCAAAGUGCAACGCAGUUGUCAACAAAUGAGGAUGCGUGAUAGGCGAUGGACGUUGUUUGUUUGGACAGAAUUAGAUAUUGAGGCACGACAACCUGAAAUUAAAUGGGAUUUUAGAGAUGAAAAAUAGGGUCACCAUUCAUAAACAAGGGUGUUGAGGAACGUCGUUCCGAAAGAAUCUUGGGAUUUUUGUGGUGUUAAGCCGCUAAGACGCGCCACUAGGUCCCCUAUAUGGCCCAUUCGUUCUUUGCGGCUGCGCAGCUUCUAUUCUAUGGUCUGUUGUGUCCUUUAGAUUCGUUUUAAAUUUUCAAGCCCUUGCUUCCUGGGCCGUCUGCCACCACUGAAAUUUUGAGAUUCACCUAUUUUCCUCAAUUCCAUGCUUAGACUUAAACUUAAUUUGGAUGUUGUGUUUUUGCCUUUACUUAGGUGCCUUCCCGUUCUUUCUUUAACGCUUGAAGGAAGCUUGCGUAGCAUUUUUAUCUUUAAU